Quercus robur (English oak) is the source of this 5081-nucleotide RNA transcript. It is a transcript of the gene named pleiotropic drug resistance protein 2-like, with no coding region annotated. The transcript is spliced from 21 exons. The record is from RefSeq and is a predicted model, not a curated record. NCBI's taxonomy places the organism in Eukaryota, Viridiplantae, Streptophyta, Magnoliopsida, Fagales, Fagaceae.
UCCAUUUCAGUCAGUGACAUGCUCUUACUCCUCACCAUCUUCUCCUACAUAUACCAUGUCCAAACCACCACCAAGCCACACAUUCUUUCACACCCAUCAUCUCCAAAUUUAGCUCAAAGCUAUCUGAGUUGUUAUUCCAGAUUCACAUGUUCAUGAGCUCAUACAGACUUUUUUGAACUUCUUCGCACACUAUUUUUAAGUACUCUUUUGAAUUUCUAUGGCAACUUAAGUUUUGUAGUGCAUUAAAGUAAGGAAGUGCUAAGUAUGGUAUUAUUCAAACACUAGGGAAUAGUCAGGCGCUCGAAAAGUUAAAAAAGAGAGUAUUGUAUUACAUUAUGGCAGCUGCUUUGGCUGGAGAUGAAAUUGUAAGGUCCAUGAGCAGCAAGAGGAUGAGUUUCCGGUCAUCCAGCAGCAAGAGAAGCUGGGCCUCAUUGAGCUUGCGUGAGGCUUGGACAGGACAAACAGAUGUGUUUCAGAAGAGUGGGAGGGAAGAUGAUGAAGAGGAGCUGAUGUGGGCGGCAUUAGAGCGGCUUCCAACGUAUGAUAGGUUGAGGAAAGGAAUGCUGAAGCAGGUUUUGGAUAAUGGGAGAGUUGAUUAUCAAGAGGUUGAUGUUACCAAUCUUGGAGUGCAGGACAAGAAGCAUCUCAUCGAGAGUAUACUUAAGGUUGUUGAAGAAGAUAAUGAGAAGCUGCUUCGUAGACUAAGGGCCAGGACUGAUAGGGUGGGAAUUGACAUUCCAAAGAUUGAAGUCAGGUUUGAGCAUUUAUCAAUCGAAGGAGAUGCAUAUGUUGGAGCCAGGGCACUCCCAACUCUGCUGAACUCAUACUUGAAUUCAAUUGAGGCGUUUCUUGGGUUAAUCAAGCUUUUGCCAUCGAAGAAAAGGGUUGUCAAGAUUCUACGUGACGAGAGUGGAAUAGUGAAGCCAUCAAGAAUGACACUGCUUCUGGGACCUCCAGGAUCAGGGAAAACAACAUUGCUGCAGGCACUUGCAGGGAAGAGGGACAAGGAUCUCAGGAUAUCAGGGAGACUCAGUUACUGUGGUCAUGAGUUAUCGGAAUUUGUUCCUCAGAGAACAUGCGCAUACAUUAGCCAACAUGAUCUUCAUCAAGGGGAAAUGACAGUCAGAGAGACAUUGGACUUUUCAGGACGUUGUUUGGGAGUUGGAACAAGGUAUGACCUGCUGACAGAAUUGUCAAGACGAGAAAAAGAAGUUGGAAUAAAACCAGAUCCUGAGAUAGAUGCAUUCAUGAAAGCCACAGCAAUGGCAGGCCAAGAAACAAGUCUUGUUACAGAUUAUGUUCUCAAGAUUCUUGAAUUGGACAUAUGUGCUGACAUUAUUGUGGGUGAUGAAAUGAGAAGAGGCAUAUCUGGUGGACAAAAGAAGCGUGUUACAAUAGGAGAAAUGUUGGUUGGACCAGCAAAGGCUCUUUUUAUGGAUGAAAUAUCAAAUGGUCUAGACAGUUCAACCACUUUCCAAAUAGUCAAGUUCAUGAGGCAGAUGGUUCAUAUAAUGGAUAUGACAAUGAUAAUUUCUCUUCUGCAACCUGCGCCUGAAACCUUUGAUCUUUUUGAUGACAUUAUUUUACUUUCAGAAGGCCAGAUUGUCUAUCAAGGUCCAUGUGAGAACGUACUUGAAUUUUUUGAAGAUGUUGGCUUUAAGUGCCCAGAGAGGAAAGGAGUUGCAGACUUUUUGCAAGAGGUUAUUUCCAAAAAGGAUCAGGAGCAGUACUGGUGCAAAAAGAAUGAACCUUUCCGAUAUACUAGUGUUCCUGAGUUUGUAGAUCACUUUCAUAAUUUUCACAUUGGCCAGCAACUUUAUGAUGAGCUUGGAAUUCCAUAUGAUAGCUCUAAAGCUCAUCGUGCUGCAUUAGUAAAAGAGAAGUAUGGAAUUUCUAAUCGGGAACUCUUGAAGGCAUGCUUUGCAAGAGAGUGGCUAUUGAUGAAGCGCAACUAUUUUAUAUACAUAUUCAAGACAACCCAGAUUACCAUAAUGUCAAUUAUUGCCAUGACAGUGUUCUUUAGAACCGAAAUGAAGCACGGUCAAUUAGAAGAUGGAGGGAAAUAUUACGGUGCAAUGUUCUUCAGUCUCAUUAAUGUCAUGUUCAAUGGAGUGUCAGAACUUGCAUUGACUGUUGUUAGGCUUCCUGUAUUUUUUAAGCAGCGGGAUUUCUUGUUCCAUCCAGCAUGGGCUUUCGGCUUACCAAUUUGGCUCCUCAGGAUUCCUGUCUCAUUGAUGGAGUCAGGAAUAUGGAUCUGCCUAACAUAUUACACUAUUGGGUUUGCUCCUUCUGCUAGUAGGUUUUUCCGCCAAUUAUUGGCAUUCUUCAGCAUCCAUCAGAUGGGCCUAUCUCUGUUCCGGUUUAUUGCAGUACUGGGAAGAGUUCAAGUUGUGGCAAAUACGCUUGGUACCUUUACAUUGUUAUUGGUUUUUGUCCUUGGUGGGUUCAUUGUUGCCAAAGAUGACAUUGCACCAUGGAUGAUAUGGGGCUACUACGUUUCUCCCAUGAUGUAUGGACAGAAUGCCAUAGCCAUCAAUGAAUUUCUUGACAAAAGAUGGAGUACACCCAAUCCGUACCCACUUAUUCCUGAACCCACCGUCGGAAAGGUUCUUCUCAAGGCCAGGGGCAUGUUUGUGGAAGACUAUUGGUAUUGGAUUUGUGUUGGGGCACUCCUUGGGUUUUCUGUUCUUUUUAACAUCUGUUUUAUCAUAGCACUCACAUUUCUAAAUCCUUUAGGUGAUUCUAAAUCCGUUAUUGUUGAGGAGGAUGACAAUAAAAAAAGUGGAAAGCAGUCCUCUAAUGGACAGCUUCAGAUGAGAGGCAUAGAAAUGAGUACAUCUUCAACCGCUCAAGGUAUUGAUAUGGCAGUGAAGAACACUCCAGACAACUCAAUUGGUAGUGGUGCAGAGAAUGCACCUACUAGAAGAGGAAUAGUUCUGCCAUUCCAGCCCUUGUCACUUGCAUUUAAUCAUGUAAAUUACCUUGUCGAUAUACCAGCUGAAAUGAAGGGCCAAGGGAUCGAAGAAAGUCGUCUCCAACUUUUACGAGAUGUUAGUGGUGCUUUCAGGCCUGGUAUUCUAACAGCAUUGGUUGGCGUAAGUGGUGCUGGAAAAACCACAUUGAUGGAUGUGCUAGCAGGAAGAAAAACUAGCGGGUACAUUGAAGGAAGUAUCAGCAUAUCUGGUUACCCCAAGAACCAAGCAACUUUUGCUCGGGUUAACGGUUACUGUGAACAGAAUGAUAUCCAUUCACCCAAUGUUACCGUCUAUGAAUCUCUUGUUUACUCUGCCUGGCUGCGUCUUGCCAAGGAAGUUAAGCAGGAAACUCGAAAGAUGUUUGUUGAGGAAAUCAUGGACUUGGUUGAGCUAAAUUCAUUGAGGAAUUCCUUAGUUGGUGUUCCAGGAGUAGAUGGUCUGUCAACUGAACAGAGAAAGCGACUCACAAUAGCUGUAGAAUUGGUUGCUAAUCCCUCCAUCAUCUUCAUGGAUGAGCCAACAUCAGGCCUUGACGCUAGAGCUGCAGCAAUUGUAAUGCGUACAGUGAGAAACACAGUGGAUACAGGGAGAACUGUUGUCUGCACAAUUCACCAGCCAAGCAUAGACAUUUUUGAAGCUUUCGAUGAGCUACUGUUGAUGAAGAGGGGUGGACAAGUCAUUUAUGCUGGACCCCUCGGUCACCAUUCUCAAAAGCUUGUAGAUUACUUUGAGGCUAUCCCAUAUGUUCCUAAGAUCAAAGAUGGAUAUAAUCCUGCAACAUGGAUGCUAGAAAUCAGUUCUCCUGCAGUUGAGGCUCAACUCGUUGUGGAUUUUGCAGAAAUUUAUGCCAAUUCUGAACUGUACAAGAGGAAUCAAGAACUCAUCAAAGAGCUAAGCACGCCAUCACCAGGAUCGAAGGACCUUUACUUCCCCACCAAAUAUUCCCAAUCCUCUGUAAUUCAAUGUAAAGCUUGCUUUUGGAAGCAAUAUUGGUCUUAUUGGAGGAACCCACGAUACAAUGCCAUCCGGUUAUUCGUAACGAUAGUCAUCGGUGUUCUAUUUGGGCUAAUUUUCUGGAACAAAGGAGAUAAGACGCACAAGGAACAAGACCUGCUGAAUCUACUGGGGGCUAUGUUUGCUGCUGCUCUUUUUCUUGGAAGCACCAACACAGCUGCAGUGCAGCCUGUUGUGGCAAUUGAAAGAACAGUCUUCUACCGUGAAAGAGCAGCAGGAAUGUAUUCAGCUUUGCCUUAUGCUUUUGCUCAGGUGACAGUGGAGAUAAUUUAUGUAGCUAUCCAAACUUUUGUCUACACUCUUAUCCUUUACUCAAUGAUUGGAUUCCAUUGGCGACUUGAAAAGUUCUUGUGGUUUUACUUCUUUAUCUUGAUGUGCUUUAUAUACUACACAUUGUAUGGGAUGAUGGUAGUAGCUCUGACUCCUAGCUACCAAAUUGCCGCCAUUUUUAUGUCCUUCUUCCUAAACAUUUGGAACCUGUUCUCUGGUUUUCUCAUCACGAGGCCGCAAAUUCCAAUAUGGUGGAGGUGGUAUUACUGGGGCUCUCCUGUGUCUUGGACAAUCUAUGGCCUUGUGACCUCUCAAGUGGGUGACAAGACCACUCCAAUUGAGGUACCUGGACAAGGCUAUAUGCCUGUAAAAUAUUACCUGAAGUCUCACUUGGGCUUUGAAUAUAACUUCCUUGGAGCUGUUGUUGCGGCCCAUAUUGGCUUUGUCCUCGUUUUCUUAUUUGUCUUUGCCUAUGGUAUCAAGUUCCUCAACUUCCAAAGGAGAUAAAAAAAAACAAGGAUUCAAGCUUCAACAAUGAUAAUAAGAUUUUGUUUGAGCAAUUGAUCUAGCAGAAAGAUAUGGUUGGCUUAGUAUUUUUUUCACCAACUUUGUAAAUUAAUGACUUUUUAUCAUUAAAAUAUUCACAAAUUCAGGUCCUUGUACAAAAAAAAAAAUUAUGCUAAGAGUUUGAAUUGGCUUUUUAAUUUUAAUUUUUUAAUUUAUUUUUGGGUAAAAUUGAGCUGUGCUCAUAAGAAGUAUGAGCUCUCACUGGUUAUUGUACAUAGCAAAAAAUGCAAUUUACUCCCUAUACUCUUCUUGUUU